CAUAUCAAUAAGCGGAGGAAAAGAAACCAACAGGGAUUGCCUUAGUAACGGCGAGUGAAGCGGCAACAGCUCAAAUUUGAAAUCUGGCCCUUGGGUCCGAAUUGUAAUUUGUAGAGGAUGAUUUUGGUGCGGUAUCUUCCGAGUUCCUUGGAACAGGACGCCUUAGAGGGUGAGAGCCCCGUACGGUUGAAUGCCUAGCCUCUGUAAAUCUCCUUCGACGAGUCGAGUAGUUUGGGAAUGCUGCUCUAAAUGGGAGGUAAAUUUCUUCUAAAGCUAAAUAUUGGCCAGAGACCGAUAGCGCACAAGUAGAGUGAUCGAAAGAUGAAAAGCACUUUGAAAAGAGGGUUAAAUAGCACGUGAAAUUGUUGAAAGGGAAGGAUUUGUGACCAGACUUUUUCUGGGCGGAUCAUCCGGGGUUCUCUCCGGUGCACUUCGCCCAGUAAAGGCCAGCAUCGGUUUUCGGCGUGGGAUAAAAGCAGUAGGAAUGUGGCUCUCUACGGGGAGUGUUAUAGCCUAUUGUAUAAUACCGCGCUGGGGACCGAGGUUCGCGCUUCUGCAAGGAUGCUGGCGUAAUGGUUAUCAAUCACCCGUCUUGAAACACGGACCAAGGAGUCGAACAUUUGUGCGAGUGUUUGGGUGUUAAACCCUCACGCGUAAUGAAAGUGAACGGAGGUGAGAGCCCUUACGGGUGCAUCAUCGACCGAUCCUGAAGUUUUCGGAUGGAUUUGAGUAAGAGCAUAACUGUUCGGACCCGAAAGAUGGUGAACUAUGCGUGGAUAGGGUGAAGCCAGAGGAAACUCUGGUGGAGGCUCGCAGCGGUUCUGACGUGCAAAUCGAUCGUCAAAUCUGCGCAUGGGGGCGAAAGACUAAUCGAACCAUCUAGUAGCUGGUUACC
Molecule: ribosomal RNA, 895 nt
Filed under: Neopestalotiopsis cubana
Lineage: Eukaryota; Fungi; Ascomycota; Sordariomycetes; Amphisphaeriales; Sporocadaceae
Description: LSU rRNA
Rfam family: Eukaryotic large subunit ribosomal RNA
Source: RNAcentral